RNAcentral lists this ribosomal RNA (1239 nucleotides) under uncultured crenarchaeote. RNAcentral's name for it is "bacterial SSU rRNA". It matches the Rfam family "Archaeal small subunit ribosomal RNA", at positions 55 to 1293 of the family's 1478-position model. Lineage: Archaea; Thermoproteati; Thermoproteota. The record is from RNAcentral.
AAGCCAUGGUAGAGGCGCGGCACACAGCUCAGUAACACGUGGCUAACCUACCCUUGAGAUGGAAACAACCCCGGGAAACUGGGGCUAAUUUCCGAUAGGUGAAGACUCCUGGAAUGGAUCUUCGCCUAAAGGGCGCUUAGACCAUGCUUUUAGGCGUUGCCCAAGGAUGGGGCCGCGGCCGAUCAGGUUGUUGGUGAGGCAACGGCUCACCAAGCCUUUAACCGGUACGGGCCGUGAGAGCGGGAGCCCGGAGAUGGGCACUGAGACAANGGCCCAGGCCCUACGGGGCGCAGCAGUCGCGAAAACUCCGCAAUACGCGAAGGCGUGACGGGGUCAUCCCGAGUGCCGUCCGCUGAGGAUGGCUUUUCCCCAGUGUAGAUAGCUGGGGGAAUAAGGAGAGGGCAAGUCUGGUGUCAGCCGCCGCGGUAAUACCAGCUCUUCGAGUGGUAGGAUGUUUAUUGGGCCUGAAGCAUCCGUAGCCGGCUGGGCAAGUCCCCCGUUAAAUCCAGCGAUUUAAUCGUUGGAUUGCAGGGUAUACUGCUCGGCUAGGGGGUGGGAGAGGCCGACGGUAUUCUCGGGGUAGGGGUGAAAUCCUAUAAUCCCGGGAGGACCACCAGUGGCGAAGGCUGUCGGCUAGAACAUGCUCGACGGUGAGGGAUGAAAGCUGGGGGAGCGAACCGGAUUAGAUACCCGGGUAGUCCUAGCUGUAAACGAUGCAGGCUAGGUGUUAGGGCGGCCACGUGCCGCCUUAGUGCCGCAGGAAAGCUGUUAAGCCUGCCGCCUGGGGAGUACGGCCGCAAGGCUGAAACUUAAAGGAAUUGGCGGGAGAGCACCACAAGGGGUGAAGCUUGCGGUUUAAUUGGAGUCAACGCCGGAAAUCUCACCGGGGGCGACAGCAGAAUGAAAGCCAGAUUAAAGGUCUUGCCAGACGAGCUGAGAGGAGGUGCAUGGCCGUCGCCAGUUCGUGCCGUGAGGUGUCCUGUUAAGUCAGGCAACGAUCGAGACCCGCGUCCCCCGUUGCCAUUAGCCUUGAGCUAAGCACACUGGGGAGACCGCCGCUGAUAAGGCGGAGGAAGGAGCGGGCCACGGCAGGUCAGUAUGCCCCGAAUCUCCCGGGCCACACGCGAGCUGCAAUGGCAGGUACAAUGGGUUCCGACCUCGAAAGGGGAAGGCAAUCUCUAAAACCUGCCGUAGUUGGGAUCGAGGGUUGAAACUCACCCUCGUGAACAUGGAUCCCUA